UGCCAGCAGCCGCGGUAAUACGGAGGGUGCAAGCGUUAUCCGGAUUCACUGGGUUUAAAGGGUACGUAGGCGGGCAUAUAAGUCAGUGGUGAAAUCCUGCGGCUCAACCGUAGCACUGCCAUUGAAACUGUAUGUCUUGAGUAUGAUCGAUGUAGGCGGAAUGUAGCAUGUAGCGGUGAAAUGCAUAGAUAUGCUACAGAACACCAAUAGCGAAGGCAGCUUACAAGAUCAUUACUGACGCUGAGGUACGAAAGCGUGGGUAGCGAACAGGAUUAGAUC
This 279-nucleotide ribosomal RNA is filed under the name uncultured bacterium. RNAcentral's name for it is "partial 16S ribosomal RNA". It matches the Rfam family "Bacterial small subunit ribosomal RNA", at positions 506 to 784 of the family's 1533-position model. The record is from RNAcentral.